This 253-nucleotide ribosomal RNA is filed under the name uncultured bacterium. Its description in RNAcentral is "partial 16S ribosomal RNA". It matches the Rfam family "Bacterial small subunit ribosomal RNA", at positions 524 to 776 of the family's 1533-position model. The record is from RNAcentral.
UACGGGGGGGGCAAGCGUUGUUCGGAAUUACUGGGCGUAAAGGGCGCGUAGGCGGCCUGCUAAGUCACACGUGAAAUCCCUCGGCUCAACCGGGGAACUGCGUGUGAUACUGGCGGGCUUGAAUUCGGGAGAGGGAUGUGGAAUUCCAGGUGUAGCGGUGAAAUGCGUAGAGAUCUGGAGGAACACCGAUGGCGAAGGCAGCCUUCUGGGCCAACACUGACGCUCAUGCACGAAAGCGUGGGGAGCAAACAGG